CCGCGUGAGCGAAGAAGGCCUUCGGGUCGUAAAGCUCUGUGUUAGGAAGAACAAGUAUCGGAGUAACUGCCGGUACCUUGACGGUACCUAACCAGAAAGCCACGGCUAACUACGUGCCAGCAGCCGCGGUAAUACGUAGGUGGCAAGCGUUGUCCGGAAUUAUUGGGCGUAAAGCGCGCGCAGGCGGUCCUUUAAGUCUGAUGUGAAAGCCCACGGCUCAACCGUGGAGGGUCAUUGGAAACUGGGGGACUUGAGUGCAGAAGAGGAGAGUGGAAUUCCACGUGUAGCGGUGAAAUGCGUAGAGAUGUGGAGGAACACCAGUGGCGAAGGCGACUCUCUGGUCUGUAACUGACGCUGAGGCGCGAAAGCGUGGGGAGCAAACAGGAUUAGAUACCCUGGUAGUCCACGCCGUAAACGAUGAGUGCUAAGUGUUAGAGGGUUUCCGCCCUUUAGUGCUGCAGCUAACGCAUUAAGCACUCCGCCUGGGGAGUACGGCCGCAAGGCUG
RNAcentral lists this ribosomal RNA (506 nucleotides) under uncultured Bacillota bacterium. RNAcentral's name for it is "bacterial SSU rRNA". It matches the Rfam family "Bacterial small subunit ribosomal RNA", at positions 397 to 896 of the family's 1533-position model. The record is from RNAcentral. Lineage: Bacteria; Bacillati; Bacillota.